RNAcentral lists this ribosomal RNA (273 nucleotides) under uncultured bacterium. Its description in RNAcentral is "partial 16S ribosomal RNA". It matches the Rfam family "Bacterial small subunit ribosomal RNA", at positions 523 to 796 of the family's 1533-position model. The record is from RNAcentral.
AUACGGAGGGGGCUAGCGUUGUUCGGAAUUACUGGGCGUAAAGCGCGCGUAGGCGGACCAGUCAGUCAGGGGUGAAAUCCCGGGGCUCAACCCCGGAACUGCCUUUGAUACUGCUGGUCUUGAGUUCGAGAGAGGUGAGUGGAAUUCCGAGUGUAGAGGUGAAAUUCGUAGAUAUUCGGAGGAACACCAGUGGCGAAGGCGGCUCACUGGCUCGAUACUGACGCUCAGGUGCGAAAGCGUGGGGAGCAAACAGGAUUAGAUACCCCUGUGUCC